AGAGUUUGAUCAUGGCUCAGGACGAACGCUGGCGGCGUGCUUAACACAUGCAAGUCGAGCGGAAAGGCCCUUCGGGGUACUCGAGCGGCGAACGGGUGAGUAACACGUGAGCAAUCUGCCCCUAGCUCUGGGAUAGCUCCGGGAAACCGGAAUUAAUACCGGAUAUGACCCUCACCGACAUCGGUAAGGGUGGAAAGUUUUUCGGCUAGGGAUGAGCUCGCGGCCUAUCAGCUAGUUGGUGGGGUAACGGCCCACCAAGGCGACGACGGGUAGCCGGCCUGAGAGGGCGACCGGCCACACUGGGACUGAGACACGGCCCAGACUCCUACGGGAGGCAGCAGUGGGGAAUAUUGCGCAAUGGGCGAAAGCCUGACGCAGCGACGCCGCGUGGGGGAAGAAGGCCUUCGGGUUGUAAACCCCUUUCAGCAGGGACGAAGCGAGAGUGACGGUACCUGCAGAAGAAGCGCCGGCUAACUACGUGCCAGCAGCCGCGGUAACACGUAGGGCGCGAGCGUUGUCCGGAAUUAUUGGGCGUAAAGAGCUCGUAGGCGGUCUGCCACGUCCGCUGUGAAAACCUAGGGCUUAACCCUGGGCUUGCAGUAGAUACGGGCAGACUAGAGGUAGGUAGGGGAGAAUGGAAUUCCCGGUGUAGCGGUGAAAUGCGCAGAUAUCGGGAGGAACACCGGUGGCGAAGGCGGUUCUCUGGGCCUUACCUGACGCUGAGGAGCGAAAGCGUGGGGAGCAAACAGGAUUAGAUACCCCGGUAGUCC
This 770-nucleotide ribosomal RNA is filed under the name uncultured bacterium. Its description in RNAcentral is "bacterial SSU rRNA". It matches the Rfam family "Bacterial small subunit ribosomal RNA", at positions 8 to 796 of the family's 1533-position model. The record is from RNAcentral.